Molecule: ribosomal RNA, 557 nt
Filed under: Trichoderma harzianum
Lineage: Eukaryota; Fungi; Ascomycota; Sordariomycetes; Hypocreales; Hypocreaceae
Description: eukaryotic LSU rRNA
Rfam family: 5.8S ribosomal RNA (bases 213-366)
Source: RNAcentral
CGGAGGGAUCAUUACGAGUUUACAACUCCCAAACCCAAUGUGAACGUUACCAAACUGUUGCCUCGGCGGGAUCUCUGCCCCGGGUGCGUCGCAGCCCCGGACCAAGGCGCCCGCCGGAGGACCAACCAAAAACUCUUUUGUAUACCCCCUCGCGGGUUUUUUAUAUCUGAGCCAUCUCGGCGCCUCUCGUAGGCGUUUCGAAAAUGAAUCAAAACUUUCAACAACGGAUCUCUUGGUUCUGGCAUCGAUGAAGAACGCAGCGAAAUGCGAUAAGUAAUGUGAAUUGCAGAAUUCAGUGAAUCAUCGAAUCUUUGAACGCACAUUGCGCCCGCCAGUAUUCUGGCGGGCAUGCCUGUCCGAGCGUCAUUUCAACCCUCGAACCCCUCCGGGGGGUCGGCGUUGGGGAUCGGCCCUUUACGGGGCCGGCCCCGAAAUACAGUGGCGGUCUCGCCGCAGCCUCUCCUGCGCAGUAGUUUGCACACUCGCAUCGGGAGCGCGGCGCGUCCAUUGCCGUAAAACACCCAACUUUCUGAAAUGUUGACCUCGGAUCAGGUAGA